Cryptomeria japonica (Japanese cedar) is the source of this 132-nucleotide small nucleolar RNA. RefSeq annotates it as small nucleolar RNA snoR74. NCBI's taxonomy places the organism in Eukaryota, Viridiplantae, Streptophyta, Pinopsida, Cupressales, Cupressaceae. The record is from RefSeq and is a predicted model, not a curated record. The transcript has a single exon.
AAAAAAGAAGAGAACAGUGAAGAUAAUGAGCUGGUCUUUUGACAACUUCAGGGAAAUUGCUUGCACUGUUUAAUGGGUGAAUCAUUGGAGGCUAUUUCCUUGACAAUAGAUUCAAUCUACUAUGCAACAUCA